UACGAAGGGGGCUAGCGUUGUUCGGAAUUACUGGGCGUAAAGCGUGCGCAGGCGGCUUCUCAAGUCAGGGGUGAAGGCCCAGAGCUCAACUCUGGAACUGCCUUUGAGACUGAGAGGCUUGAGUACGGGAGAGGUGAGUGGAAUUCCCAGUGUAGAGGUGAAAUUCGUAGAUAUUGGGAAGAACACCGGUGGCGAAGGCGGCUCACUGGCCCGAAACUGACGCUCAUGCACGACAGCGUGGGGAUCAAACAGG
Molecule: ribosomal RNA, 253 nt
Filed under: uncultured bacterium
Lineage: Bacteria
Description: partial 16S ribosomal RNA
Rfam family: Bacterial small subunit ribosomal RNA
Source: RNAcentral